CCUACGGGGGGCUGCAGUGAGGAAUAUUGGUCAAUGGGCGUAAGCCUGAACCAGCCAUCCCGCGUGAAGGAAGAAGGCGCUAUGCGUCGUAAACUUCUUUUCCAGAGGAAUAAAAUUUUGUACGAGUACAGAACUGAAGGUACUUUGGGAAUAAGCAUCGGCUAACUCCGUGCCAGCAGCCGCGGUAAUACGGAGGAUGCGAGCGUUAUCCGGAUUUAUUGGGUUUAAAGGGUGCGUAGGCGGAUUAAUAAGUCAGUGGUGAAAACCUUCAGCUUAACUGGAGAACUGCCAUUGAUACUGUUAGUCUUGAGUACGGUCAAGGUAGGCGGAAUGUGUAAUGUAGCGGUGAAAUGCUUAGAUAUUACACAGAACACCGAUUGCGAAGGCAGCUUACUGGGCCAUUACUGACGCUGAUGCACGAAAGCGUGGGGAGCGAACAGGCUUAGAUACCCCGGUAGUC
RNAcentral lists this ribosomal RNA (460 nucleotides) under uncultured Bacteroidota bacterium. RNAcentral's name for it is "bacterial SSU rRNA". It matches the Rfam family "Bacterial small subunit ribosomal RNA", at positions 338 to 795 of the family's 1533-position model. Lineage: Bacteria; Pseudomonadati; Bacteroidota. The record is from RNAcentral.